Molecule: small nucleolar RNA, 96 nt
Filed under: Triticum aestivum (bread wheat)
Lineage: Eukaryota; Viridiplantae; Streptophyta; Magnoliopsida; Poales; Poaceae
Also listed under: 1 other name
Description: snoRNA snoZ159
Rfam family: Small nucleolar RNA Z159/U59
About the family: This family consists of several snoRNA Z159 or U59 sequences which are members of the C/D class of snoRNA which contain the C (UGAUGA) and D (CUGA) box motifs. This family seems to be found exclusively in rice. C/D box small nucleolar RNAs are known to act as a methylation guides for 18S ribosomal RNA in plants.
Source: Rfam by way of RNAcentral
CUGUCUGGUGAUGAUCAAACUAAAUACUUCCGUUCUUCUGAUGCGCUAUCUCAUGACGCAGUGCAGAAGCAAUUUGGAGACCUCAACUGAGGGAAU